UACGAACUGCGCGAACGUUAUUCGGAAUCACUGGGCUUACAGGGUGCGUAGGCGGUCCACCAGGUCAGAUGUGAAAUCCCACAGCUCAACUGUGGAACUGCAUUUGAAACCGGCGGACUUGAGUAAACUAGAGGUAUACGGAACUUCAGGUGGAGCGGUGAAAUGUGUUGAGAUCUGAAGGAACACCAGAGGCGAAAGCGGUAUACUGGAGUUUGUCUGACGCUGAGGCACGAAAGCCAGGGGAGCGAACGGG
RNAcentral lists this unclassified non-coding RNA (253 nucleotides) under uncultured Planctomycetales bacterium. RNAcentral describes it as "contains 16S-23S intergenic spacer region". It matches the Rfam family "Bacterial small subunit ribosomal RNA", at positions 524 to 776 of the family's 1533-position model. The record is from RNAcentral. Lineage: Bacteria; Pseudomonadati; Planctomycetota; Planctomycetia; Planctomycetales.